UACGUGUCUAUGAUUUCUCCGUUGUUAAU
Molecule: non-coding RNA, 29 nt
Filed under: Mus musculus (house mouse)
Lineage: Eukaryota; Metazoa; Chordata; Mammalia; Rodentia; Muridae
Source: RNAcentral